RNAcentral lists this ribosomal RNA (403 nucleotides) under Eurychasma sp. Its description in RNAcentral is "partial small subunit ribosomal RNA". It matches the Rfam family "Eukaryotic small subunit ribosomal RNA", at positions 587 to 975 of the family's 1831-position model. The record is from RNAcentral. Lineage: Eukaryota; Oomycota; Myzocytiopsidales; Eurychasmataceae.
AGCUCCAAUAGCGUAUAUUAAAGUUGUUGCAGUUAAAAAGCUCGUAGUUGGAUUUCUGACUUUGACAUUCGGUCCAUUUGCUGUUUGGCAUUUGAGUACUUUGUGAUGUCGUAGUCAUUUUUUGUGAGAGAGAUUUGCUGCCAUUAAGUUGGUGGCUUUUCAAUCUUGCAUCUUUUACUGUGAAAAAAUUAGAGUGUUUAAAGCAGGCGUUUACCAAAUUUUUGAAUACAUUAGCAUGGAAUAAUAAGAUAUGACUUUGGUGGUCUAUUUUGUUGGUUUGCACACUAGAGUAAUGAUUAAUAGGGACAGUUGGGGGUAUUUAUAUUCCGUCGUCAGAGGUGAAAUUCUUGGAUCGGCGGAAGAUAAACUAAUGCGAAAGCAUUUACCAAGGAUGUUUUCAUUA